This 3234-nucleotide ribosomal RNA is filed under the name Triticum aestivum (bread wheat). Its description in RNAcentral is "partial small subunit ribosomal RNA". The record is from RNAcentral. Lineage: Eukaryota; Viridiplantae; Streptophyta; Magnoliopsida; Poales; Poaceae.
AUGGUUGUGAGGGUGGUGGUUGCUUUGGACGAUCGUUGGGGGUCUUGCAGUGUGACGCGAAAUCAAAAAACCACCACCUUUCGGUUUUUUUGCAAAAAACCGCCACUUUUAUUUUUGCAUCAAACUACUGUAAGCAACACAUUAGUGUAUGAAACUUCAGCACAUUUUUGGCUGGUACUGGAAUAUUGUGUUGGUGGAGACCUCAAGGGCUUGCUCGAGCAGGAUAAGAAGCUGCCUAAAAGUGCCAUGCAUGACCUGGCUUACGAUCUUGUUAAAGCCCUCCUGUUCUUGCAUUCACAAGGAAUUAUCUAUUGUGAUCUGAAGCCAUCUAACAUCCUACUUGAUGAGUUUGGAUGCAUGAAGCUGUGUGAUUUUGGAUUAGCAAGACGUUUAAAUGACAUCGAGAAGAUCGACCCUGGAGAUGUGCCACAACCUAUGAGGGGGACACCAUGUUACAUGGCUCCUGAGUUGUUCCAAGAGGCAGGGGACAGCUCAUAUGCUUCUGAUUUCUGGGCUCUUGGUUGUGUGCUAUACGAAUGCUAUGUAGGAAGACCUCCUUUCGUGGGCCGUGAAUUUACCCCGCUAGUCAAAUCCAUACUUUCAGAGCCUGCACCACCUUUACCUGAUAACUCGUCAAGGUCUUUCCAGAAUCUGAUCAACUGCUUACUCAUGAAAGACCCAGCUGAAAGACUACAGUGGUCUGAACUAUGUGCACGCAACUUCUGGAGAAACAGUAUGCCAAUGAUUCCGUUACCUCCUCAACCUGCCUUCGACAACAUGGUUGGAUUUCCCACUACACCAUAUCUAGCUGAGCGAAAUGGGGAUAAACCCUCCAGACACCUGACACCACCCAAGGCUCGUGAACACCUACGCAAGAACGAUGAAAAUUCUGCCAGGUGUUCACAACCCCUGUUAAGAAUAAUGUCUCGCAUAGCUAAGAAAAAUUUGCAAAGGGUAAAAGACAAGGAGAACUACAGGCGUCCUCCCACAGAAACAGACGAAAAUGAGGCUGAAGUUAAGAUAGGAAAUGAUGACAUGGAGCUUGAUUUUGGUGAAAAUCCAGAAGGCGAUGCACCUGAUGAUAAUGAUGGAUCAGAUAAUGCUGGAUCCACAGCAGAUGAAAUGCAUACGACCGAAGGAACUGAUGGAAAUGAAGAGAACUGCAUAAAUCAGGUGGAUAUGCUCACGGAUAAGUGUUCUGUUAAGCCUGAUACCAUGAAAGCACGUCCGAAGAUACCGUCUGCUGCUGCAACGGGUUCUGAGCCGUCUAACAUAUUUGAAGCAUUCUGGCAUCCAACAGAUCUUGCUGUUAAACCAACUGUCACUGUGCUUCCUUUUGAAGCUCUCCCUGCUGCUGAUUACAUCAGGUUACCACGAGAACAGAUGAAUGCAUUCCAUAGCCAGAUAAUUCAGAGUUUGAGUGGAUCUUUUCAGGUUGCUUCACUUAUGGGACUGUUGAUACGCUACUCCACUAUCCUUGAUGCAGAGCUAGCUAGUUCAGGAAUUGUUAAUGCCUUGUCAGAUGGCUUAAGGGACCAGCAUGAUAAACUGAGGAGAUUCUGUAUGGCAACACUUGGAGAAUUACUUUCUGUAAUCGCACUGGUGUCACCUAUCUUGCGUAAAGGGGAAGACGAUCUAGCCCAGCUUUAUGCCUUACAGACAAUUGAUAAUAUAUGUAGCCAAGGAACAGAUUGGACAUCACGGUUUGAUUCCCGAGAUGUAAUUGGUCAUCUUUGCUACAUCUAUAAAGCAACUGGGAAGCAGGAGAAUACAAGGCUUAUUGCAAUUUCUUGUUUGAGCCGCCUAGCUCGAUUCAGUUCGUCAUGUAGUCAUUUAAUACUGAGAAGCAACAGGGAACUGACACUGCGUAGGAAAGCCCUUCUAUUUGUUGCUCUUCUUUGCAAGAACACAGUCGAUAGAUUGGGAAAGGAGAAGGAUGGUUUCAUUCAUCAAUGUACAGAAGCAUUUGUUCAGUUAGUUGCUUUGUUGGUCCCAGGCAUUCUUGACACUGUAUCCAGUGAUAUACAGCAGGUCAUGGGCGGCAAACGUGCUCAUCCAAGGAGCACAAUUCAUUUGUUCCGUGUCAUCCUUCAUCUUCUUGGGAGUGUAUCCUUCAAUCACAGAGUUGUGACAAGUCAAGUAUUGCUCCAGUUGGCUAAUCUUAUGAAGAUAUUGGAGACACCAUUUAAGGCUCGGGAUGAUUUCCAAAUGACAUUGCUGAGGGUUCUUGACGCAGCUACUUUGGAGCCUUCUGUUAUACUUAGGGAACACAAAAUAUUCACAAGUCGAUUCCUUCCAAGCUUAUCCAUCUUCUACAAGGGCAAUAAAGAUUGUGAUGCCAGAUUCCUGUGUUUGAAGAUACUGUCUGAUGUGAUGAUUGUGAUCUUCAGUGAUUCUUCAUUGACUGCAGACGAACAAUGUUUAGCUGACCUGAAAACAAUCUCUCACAAAUAUUUUCUCCCAAUGUACCCUUCAUUUGCAGAGGAUGAAGAUCCAAUACCUAUGUAUGCACAGAAACUUCUAGUAAUGCUGAUGGAACAUGAUUCGACAGUAUCCCAGUGCUUUGAAUUCUUGCUUGGAGAUCUUACAAAUGCAAACGUAAGCAAUGUCAAGCUUUGUUUUGCUCUGGCAUCUUCUCCCGACAUGGACUCCAAUAUCCUUUCGCAGCUUCAAGUUGUCAGAAGAAUAGGGAAUCUACUUGAGUUUGCGACUGCCAAAGAUAUGGAUGAUUUUCUGGAACCAACCUUGGAGCUCUGCAGAGCUUUCAUUAUCUGUGGCAUCGGCAGCAACAGAAGUAUCGUCCUCACCAAAGAACCUGCACUCCUCGUUGAUGGUGCCUUCAGCAUGAGCAUUGCUGUUGAUCAACAAUCUUACAUCGUGGACAUAUGCGACCUUGGUGGCAGUAUGGAUUGCGUGGUGUUGCUGCUCAAGGCAGCACCUCGAGAGGCCACAAUGGGCUUGCUGACAAAUCUUCCUAAGCUGAGCGCUCUUCUGGACUCGUUGAAGCAUGGCGCCCCCCUGCCGCUGACUCGCCUGCUAUACAGCCUAGCAUUCUCUUGUAGACAGUAUCUAACCCAAGGAAUGAUACUCCCAAUAUCAGUGCCAGCUCUGAUGCGAGUAGAAGCGCUUGUCUCAUCUCUUGCUGAUGCUGCUUCGUGUGUGGGUGCUGAAUUGCAGUGCCUACCUCGGCAGAGAUGUGGUGAAGGAGCCGGUCAGUUGGCUGCCAUUACAUAA